CCAAAGUGUAGCUUAACAAAGCGUCUGGCUUACAUCCAGAAGAUUCAUUAAUAUAUGACUACUUUGAACCCAAAGCUAGCCCAAGCAACAAUGACUAGUAAACCAUUAUGAAACAUUCAAACAAACAUUUAGUAGCAUGACUAGAGUAUAGGAGAUAGAAAUUUUUAACUGGAGCUAUAGAGAGAGUACCGCAAGGGAAUGAUGAAAGAUUACCUAAAGUGAUAAACAGCAAAGAUUGCCCCUUCUACCUUUUGUAUAAUGAGUUAGCUAGAAAUAACUUAACAAAGAGAACUUAAGCUAAGUCCCCCGAAACCAGACGAGCUACCUAUGAACAAUCCACUGGGAUGAACUCAUCUAUGUUGCAAAAUAGUGAGAAGAUCCAUAGGUAGAGGUGAAAGGCCUAACGAGCCUGGUGAUAGCUGGUUGCCCAGAAUAGAAUUUUAGUUCGACUUUAAACCUGCCUACAAAACUAAUAAUUCUAAUGCAGAUUUAAAAUAUAUUCUAAAAAGGUACAGCUUUUUAGAGUUAAGGAUACAGCCUUACUU
This 545-nucleotide ribosomal RNA is filed under the name Ailuropoda melanoleuca (giant panda). RNAcentral describes it as "partial 16S ribosomal RNA". The stretch from base 217 to 545 matches the Rfam family "Bacterial large subunit ribosomal RNA", at positions 573 to 1033 of the family's 2925-position model. The record is from RNAcentral. Lineage: Eukaryota; Metazoa; Chordata; Mammalia; Carnivora; Ursidae.